RNAcentral lists this ribosomal RNA (395 nucleotides) under uncultured bacterium. Its description in RNAcentral is "bacterial SSU rRNA". It matches the Rfam family "Bacterial small subunit ribosomal RNA", at positions 140 to 507 of the family's 1533-position model. The record is from RNAcentral.
GGAACAACUAGAGGAAACUCCAGCUAAGUGCCCGGAUGAGACCACGGAUCCCUUCGGGGGUUGCGGCCAAAGAUGGCCUCUACUUGUAAGCUAUCGCUGAGGGAUGGGCCUGCGGGCCAUUAGCUUGUUGGUGAGGUAACGGCUCACCAAGGCUGUGAUGGCUAGCUGGUCUGAGAGGAUGACCAGCCACACUGGGACUGAGACACGGCCCAGACUCCUACGGGAGGCAGCAGUGGGGAAUAUUGCGCAAUGGGCGAAAGCCUGACGCAGCGACGCCGCGUGGGUGAUGAAGGCCUUCGGGUCGUAAAGCCCUGUCGCAGGGGGAAGAAUAAGCAUCGGUAUAAUACGCCGGUGCCCUGACGGUACCCUGCAAGAAAGCACCGGCUAACUCCGUG